CUAGCCUGGUAAAAAAGUUCUCUGGAAAGGGACGACAAAGAGGGUGAAAUCCCCGUUUUUGGCCGGAGCAUAGUCUUACGUUUGCUUGGAAACGAAGAGUCAGGUUGUUUGGUAUUGCAGCCUAAAGUUGGAGGUAAAUCUCUCCUAAAGCUAAAUAUUGACGAAAGACCGAUAGCGAACAAGUACCGUGAGGGAAAGAUGAAAAGCACCUUGAAAAGGGGGUCAAAAAGUACGUGAAAUUGCUGAAAGGGAACCGUAUAGAAUCAGCUUGUCUCUUUGAUAAUCAGCCUGGACUUUGGUCUGGGUGCACUUGUCAGUGAGUACGGCCUGUGACAAUUUGACUUGAGGGAAAAAAUCAAUGGGAAUGUGGCCUUGACUUCGGUGGAGGUGUUAUAGCCCUUUGAAAAAUACCUUGGGUUGGAUUGAGGACUGCAGUGAGCCCCCUUCUGGGGGGGAUGAACUGUGGGCGCUUGGUCAUCAUUAAAAAAGAAUCUCUGCUUCGGGUGGUGCUUUUUUAAUGGAGGUCAACUCGCCUACUUUUUCUUUUUCUCACUUAGGUUGCAGGCAUAAUGAUUUUAUAUGACCCGUCUUGAAACACGGACCAAGGAGUCCACCAUAGUUGCGAGUCUUUGAGUGUAAAAACCCAUAGGCGUAAGGAAACUGACCAAGAUAUGAAGGCGCAAGCUGGCAAUAUCCUCCAGCGAGGACGUUUUAUACUGAAUUGACUGAGAGAAAGCAAUUAUGAUGGGACCCGAAAGAUGGUGAACUAUACUUGAAUAGGGUGAAGCCAGAGGAAACUCUGGUGGAGGCUCGUAGCGAUUCUGACGUGCAAAUCGAUCGUCAAAUUUGAGUAUAGGGGCGAAAGACUAAUCGAACCA
RNAcentral lists this ribosomal RNA (878 nucleotides) under Absidia spinosa. Its description in RNAcentral is "partial large subunit ribosomal RNA". It matches the Rfam family "Eukaryotic large subunit ribosomal RNA", at positions 169 to 942 of the family's 3401-position model. Lineage: Eukaryota; Fungi; Mucoromycota; Mucoromycetes; Mucorales; Cunninghamellaceae. The record is from RNAcentral.